RNAcentral lists this long non-coding RNA (12665 nucleotides) under Setaria viridis. RNAcentral's name for it is "long non-coding RNA (SVIR_LNC000052)". The record is from RNAcentral. Lineage: Eukaryota; Viridiplantae; Streptophyta; Magnoliopsida; Poales; Poaceae.
CAACAGUUUGGAUAACCGGUGACCUGCUGAUGACAGGUUACCCGAGUUGCAUAGACUCCAGGUUUCCUACCAUGGUACACAACGUACCAAGCCAUUGUGCCUUAGGAAGAAAAUGAAACUUGAUUCAAUUGCAGCAACAGAUGAAUGAUAAAACAAAAUGUGGAAAUUAAAUUAUUGGCCUCAGAUGUUAUUUGCAUCUUCUCUUAACCUUGAGCUUGGAGCAUCAGUGACACUAGAUGAAUAGCAGACCACAAAUAGUAAGACAGUGGCAACAGAAACAGCACGUCAUUGGCAACAGAAUGACAAGUAUGACAACAGCACAACCAGAAAAAACCAAGAACAAGCAGUACCAAAGAGGUCGACAACAAAAACAAUAUGACAGAAGCAUGACAGGUUACCCAAUUUGCAACAGAGGCAACAGAAACCAUCCUAGGACUGCCAACAGAAAUAGCAACCUUUGAGCAACCAUCCUAGGACAACAUCUGAGAAACAACAGAAGUUUGGAGAAGCAGUACCAAGGGAUAGGUGGCAACAACAUCAAAUUGCUUGGGUAACCAAGAUAGGUAACUCCAUAUGCAUAAUAUCCAAUUUGCAUAGGUAUAUGUCUGUAAACUAGCAAGUCUGAUAUGGUAAGUUAUAAAAAAAAUAGCCUCAGAUGUUAUUUUCAACUCCCCUUGAUCUUGAGCUUGGAGCAUCAGUGACACAACAGGAAAAUAAGACCAAUAACAGUAGCACAAUGGCAACAGAAACAAUAGCAAUGUCACCAGAAAUAACAGCAUAGGCACAAUAUGGACAAUAGCUAAGCAACAGCACAAGCAUAAGUAAGGAACAUGCACUACUAGUUGGCAACAAGAACAACAACAUCAAUGUCAUGGUCCCUCACAAGCUCAAGGUCAUCUGAUGCUACCCAUAUAGUUUUAAUUGGGCAAAUAAGUUUGUCAUCAUAGGCAUUUUGCCUUACCUUAAAUAAAAUAAGUAACCAUCAAGACAGUAGAUAAAUAGCAGAGCAGAAACAGUAGGACAAUGGCAAUGGAAACAGCAGGACAUUGCCAACAAAAAGAGCAGUAACAGCACAUCUACAACAACACAACCAGAAAUGGUGAACAGCCAAUUUUAUUUCCAUCUUCGCUUGACCUUAGAAAGGGGAGCAUCAGUGGCACAAUGGCAAAAGAAGACCAGAAACAGUAGCAUAUUGGCAACAGAAACAACAGGAGUGCCAACAGAAAGAGCAGAACCAAGGGAUAGGUGCAACAACAUCAAAUUGGUCAGGUAACCAAGACAGGUAACCCCAUAAGCAUAUUAUCCAAUGUGCAUAUGUAUGGGCGUGAUUGGUUGCAAAGGUCCCACCGUCCGCUGCAUGACCCCGAAGCAUCCCGUGCACUCUCGCAGGAGUGACACAAGAUGAAAAUAAGACCAAAAACAGUACCAGAAUGGCAACAGGAAUAGCAGCAAUGUCACCAGAAAUAACAGUGCCACCAGAACAUGGACAAUAACUUAGCAACAGCACAAUGGUAAGUAAGGAGCAUGCAGUACUAGUUGGCAACAACAACAGCAAGAUCAAUGUCAUGGUCCCUCACAAGCUCAAGGUCAUCUGAUGCUACCCAUAUAGUUUUAAUUGGGCAAAUAAGUGUGUCAUCAUAGGCAUUUUGUCUUACCUUAAAUAACAUAAGUAACCAUCAAGGCAGAAGGAAGCAACCAACACAUAGGAAAUGCUGAAAAGAUGGACUUACCAGGUAUCCAGAAGCAGUAGCAGGUCUUAAUAACAAGAACAAUGGCAUAGUUAGUCAGAAGCUUAAGGUCAUGUGAUGGUACCCAUGGGGAAAAUAAUUUAUCAUGAACAGCACAACUAGAAAAAAAGAACAAGUAGCAAGUCUGAUAUGCUAAGUGACAAAAGAAUUGGCCUCAGAUGUUAUUUUCAUCUUCCCUUGACCCUGAGCUUGGAGCAUCAGUGACACAAGACCAAAAUAAGACCAAAAAUAGUAGCACAAUGGCAACAGGAACUAUAGCACAGUGAACACAAAAAACAGCAGUAGCACAACAUGGACAACAGCUCAGGAACAACACAACCAUAAGGAACAAGAAUCACAAGAUCAAUGUCAUAGUCCCUCACAAGCUCAAGGUCAUCUGAUGAUACCCAUAUACUUCUAAUUGGGCAAAUAAGUUUGUCAUCAUAGGCAUUUUUUCUUACCUUAAAUAACAAAAGUAACCAUCAAGGCAGAAGGAAGCAACCAUCAUAUAGAAAAGGAUGAAAAUAAGAUGGACUUACCAUGUAGCAGUUCUUAAGAAGAAGAACAAGAACAACAUAUGCAUCCAUGAAUUCAGAACAUGUAUCCAAGAUGAAAGACUUGGCAUCCAUCACAUUGACCAGGUGUAGGUGUUCAUGUUUACACACCCAACAGAUCCCUCCAAACCACCUUUAGCAGAUGGAACCAUGUAGCCUAUGCUAUACAAAAAUAUUUGCAGCAUUGGAAAUAUCCCAAAUGGUAUGUCUACCCUCACCAUCAGUGGUUAGUGCUAACCCAAAAUGUCAGACUACAGCAUAGGCAAGCAAAAUAACACAUAACAGUCGACAUCCACCUAGAGGAAGUUAGAUUGGCUCAGGUAGGUCCUAAGCCAAAGGAUCCUAUGGGCUUCACUCAUCUGAACAAAGCAUAGGCCUUCUGCUUUGUUCUUGAGCAAGUACACAAGUACAAACAUCAAGGCCUCCUGUGAGUACCCAGGAUAGGACAUGACACAACCAUAGAGAUCUGCAUGGACCUCAUUGUGCUGAGGAGCUUUCAGGGCUUCUGCAACAGAGGCAACAGCAACAGUCAUACCAUGCAUCAGCUGGUAUUCUUCCUCACCCAACUUCCUCCUUUUACCACCUCUCCCUUCCUUAUCAUCAGAACUCUUAGAGGUGUCCAGCCCAUUGGAGCCUACAUUUUUCUUACCAGAAUCACCCUCAUUCCCAUCUAAAUUAAUUGUCUCUGUUGCAAGAUCCCCCCCUCAAGGUGUCCAAGGUCAGUAGGUACACCUAAAGGUUCAUUGGAACCCAUGGCAAACCUACCAGUAGCCUGACUAGACCCAAAAAUGGCCUCCAUUUGGACAUAGUUCUCAAUUGGGGUGUUCAAGAACUUGGCAUCAGCAGGAUGAUCCUAGUUGGGCAAAAGGUUGUGCAACAGUUAGAGAUAAGGGUAGCUAUUAAUCAUAACAGUGAGGUAUAUGUAAGCUGUGGCCUAACCUUAGUGUGCCCUAUCAGAUGCUCCUCCUCAAGGACUAUCAUAUGAUGGUCCUCAUUCCAGAGAGCACCACUGAGGUCCUUGAGCCUAGCAAUCUUAACCCACCUCUGUCUCCAUUUGCGUAGGUGGUUAUAAAUUUGGUUGGUGGUAACAUUCACCUCAGCAAAAUCAGAAACCAUCCUAGCAACUUGCCUAACAUGCACUUCCUUGAAGCCUUUGUCAGUUUUGACCCCUUGCCCAACCAGAUCAUGAAACCUCCUAAGCAUGAAGGCUGACUGAACACUGGUCCAUUGCAUUGGCCCCCCAGGCUGGGCUCCAUUGGGUGGAGGGGCUGCUGGGAACACUUCCUCCACAGCAGCCACCCCACCCUCGGCCCCUGCCUCAUUGACAACACCAACCACAUCCUCACCCAUCACAGCCAUGUCCUAACCAUCAUACCAUAACAAAAACAAACACCAAAGCACUUAGAAAUCAAACAUGAAAGUAAGUACUGCAUGCAAAUAUCAUACCAAGUUGUAUUGUUCAUGAUUGCAGUUACACAUCAUAGCAAAGUACCAAGGUCUCAGACCAUAUUACAAAUUCAUCAAUGCUAGUUAAUAGUACAUGACCCCAAAUACUUAAGUGCAAUUAAACUCUAGAAGAUCCCCUAUUCUGCCACAUUUGUGCAGCCCAUGCAUCCCUUUGCUGUGCCCAGGUUCCAUUAUCAGCACUAAGUUCUGGCUCAGGGGGGUAUCAGUUGAGUUAGGAGUCCAAGCAGCUUCAGUGGGAACAUGUUCAUCUUGUCCAUGCCUAAGUAUCCAAUUGUGCAGAAUACAACAGGUAAGAACCAACUUAACUUGGGUUUUGUAAGGAUGGAAAGGCUUGUUAUCAAGGAUUCUGAAUCUAUUCUUUAAAGCACCAAAGGCCCUCUCUACUGUCACCCUAAGGGAAGAAUGCCUCAGGUUGAACAACUCUCUUUGAUUUUGUGGCCUAUUUGAACCAAACUCCCUCAAGUGGUACCUUGUACCACGAUAUGGCGGCAGGAACCCAGGCCUGGCUGCAUAUCCAGCAUCCACAAGAUAGAAUUUCCCUAGACAAUGUAACAAAUGGAGAUGGUUUAUCAGUUUAGUGUGUGCAAGUAUUGUUGCCAUGUGUGUAUGUGAGUUAUGGUACCUUGUGGGACUGUAAGACCAUCUGCCCUUUCAAGAGCAUCUGAUAAAAUCAGAGCAUCAUGUGCAGAUCCCUCCCAACCAGCAAGCACAUAUGUGAACCUUAGAUCAAAGUCCACUGCUGCAAGUACAUUCUGAGUGAUGGUGUGCUUCCUGCCUCUAAAGGCAGCUUGCAUCUUCAAAGGCACUCUAGCUAGGACAUGUGUCCCAUCAAUUGCUCCUAUGCAAUCCUAAAAAUAAAAAGCCAUAUUAACAGGUUGGUACCAUAUUGGUCAGGUCAAUUGGGUUGCAAUUAGGAAAGGGCCACCAACCUUGAAAUAUGGGUUCCAUCUCCUGCUGCCAAGGAUCCUAGGAUGGACACUAGUGGAUGCUGGAACAAUCAACUCAUUUCUCAACUCACCAACUGCAUACAAGACUUGAUGAAAGAACCUACUAAUAGUUUCAGGUGACCUCAUAUAUGUCAUGUUAAUGACCCUGAACCUUUGGUUGUGUCCAACUACAUGCAAGAACAUUGCUACCUGUUCUUCAACAGUGGCAUGGAUGCUAUCCACAACCAACUCUCUAGACCUAAACAGGUCACACAGUUGGAAAAAAGGUGCCCUUCUCAUUCUUAGCAGGUUGACACAAUGCACAUCAUCAGAUUCAUAAAUGAAUCUGAGGUUGCUAUUCCUCUCUCUGUCCCUCUCUGCCAUGGGACCAUAGGUAAUAGAUCGAGCUUCCUCACUUCUCCUUCUAAACCACAAGAAAAACCAAGCAGCAACAGCAGCAACAAGAGCAGCCGCAGCCCGGCGCCUACCUUGGAAGUCCAUGUCUAACAAUACAAUGCAGUGUUCAUUAGAGCUGAGUAUACAAAAACUUGGGUCAUGUUGUUAACCAAGCAAACAUUCUGAACUACAUUAUAUCCUAGACGCGGCUGCCACACCCGAAGGUGCUCCUCCGACGGCAAGGAAUCAUCAUCGACCUAGGCACUUUGCUCAGCUAACUAGGGGCUCAUUGGUUGCAAAGCAGUAAGCCAUGAUUUCAGGAUUCAAGAAAUCAGAUCCACAAAUAUACACGACAACCUUAGAUGCGCAUAAGAACGAACAUAGGGUUACCCUAGCACCAUAUAUGCAGAUGCACAAACAACAUAGGGUGGAUGAAAACCAACCAAGAUGUACCGUCGCAGGACCGGCGGCGGCUCAGGGUGCCGCCGGAGGACCCCGACCCACACAAGAACCGAACAAAAAUUCAGAUCGACCUCUACACAUGUGAGAACCAUAGAUCUGCAUCACAAAAAGUACCUACGGUUCAUCACAACCUUAAAUCCACAAAAGGAGCGCACGGAUCUGACAGAAGAAUAGCCUAGGGUUCAUCGACACCAACCAAAAAAAUACGAAUCGACAGAUCAGCGGGGGAGAGGGGAUCAAGCAGCGUAAAGAGGAGGGGGAGAUGUACCGUCGCAGCACCGCCGGGGGCACAGGGCGCCGCCGGAGUACCUCGAGCCACCGGCGAACCGAGAGCGAAUAGGAGGAGGAAGAGGAGAAGGCGCACCGGGGAGGAGGGGAGCGAAGAAAAUGGCGCGAGGAUGGGAGGUCACCGUAACCUCCCGCGCCUUUAGCCCCGAUACGGCGCCAUCUCCCGCCCUCCGCCGAAAUCUUCCCGCCAGCACCGCGCCAUCCCGGCUCGCGAGAGAAGGUGCCCUCUGGGCGGAUGGGGCGAUGCGGGAUGGAGUGAGGGAAAGGAACGGGGGCAUGCGCCGUUUCGAUUCCGGGAGGCAAACCGAACACGCGACAGUGCACGGGAUGCUUCGGGGUCAUGCAGCGGAUGGUGGGACGCGGGCAACCAAUCACGCCCUAAUAACUCACUGCUGCGGCCAUGCACUCGUCGCCACGAGGCGGAUGCCCAGGGGCACGCGUGCCGCGCCACGGUAAGGUAGGCUCCGCCCUCCGCGGGGUGCGACUCCACCUGCGCUGGUGAAACUAGCCGCGGCGUGGCGUGGGUCGCCGAGCGCCACGCGUGGCCGGCCACUGCGCUGCCGGUCGGUCCCUGCCGCUUUCUUCUUCUGGGCUAGAUUAUUAGUAUUACUGUUCUUGGACCAAAGAAUCACACCACACGCAUCAGAGCGUAUCUUGGGUUGCUCGAAAUGGUGUGGGCAUCGGUCCAGAUGACGCGAGAUGGCUCCACGGGGUUAGAGAAUUAUAGGUGAGACCUACUAAUAAAGUCCAGGUCAAGCCCAAAAGCGCCGGAGGUAUUGCUGUGCUUUGUUUGACAAAAUUGGUUAGAAUAAAGAUGGACGACAUUGACCGCUGUGAAAAUUAACCAGCUGGGAUUCGCGUCGAGAUAUGGUGUCUCCUUUCCUUUCUCCUACUAGAGCACGCCACCUGAGGUCCUGAGCUGAGCUGACAGUAUUGGUGAGACCCAGACCGACCGAGCGCAAACGUGACAGCCAGGAUGGAUCAUCAUGCAUUAGCCCGGAGACCGGCGGUGGGUGUAGGGUCUGUCUGCAAGCUGCAGGAGCACAAGCAAGAUCUAUCGUGGCACACUGACACUCUUGUCUCUUGCUACGCUACACCUUUGUUUAUCCUCGAUUGGUUGUCACGCGGCGCCUGCACGGCUGCACUGCUCUGCUGUGCUGUUGCUGGCUUGCUGCCACUGCCAGCAUGCGCCACGGCCGCGGCCGCGCAGCCACGCGUGGCGCGCCCAGGUAGGCUCCCCGCGCGCGAGGUCUCACCUGUAGCUAGCCACUCCAGUCUCCCGGUCCUGGCUCGGCGAGCGAGGCCAAUCUCUGCCAUGCGGCGGGGCUCCGGCCAUGACGCCGUUCGCGCGGCGACACAUGGCCAAGCAGCGAGGGUCGACGCAGGAGUGGGAGGCUGGGAGCCAACGGCCGCGUACCGCGUCGCCUGCCGCGGGGCCGACGUGGCGAGCGCGGGGGCGUUCACGUGACUUGUUGAGGUCCGUGCCGGGACCAGAGAGCGGCGGCGAUUCCAUCGGCGGCAGCUGACGAGGCCUCCGGGGGAGUGGGCAACUCGGAGUUGCUGGCGGCAGCUGCCCAUGCCCUCGCUCGGACUGGCCGUUCGCGGCGCCGAGGAGGCAGCGGACCUUGGACUUGGUGGAGGCAGCAAACUGCACGGUGGCCGGUGGACGCCCACGCCCCCGCGUGCAGGGUGCCACACGAGGAAACCGUCCUCGUCGCUCAAGUCCCGUCGUCCUGGCACGUGAAACGGAACGACUUCUUUUUCCUCGUUGCUGCGACUGUUGGUGCCGCUUUUAGUCAAUGCUACAGUACUUUGCUGAACCGCUGCUGCGAUAGCUCAAGCGACCGUCGGCCUGUUGGCUUCGCUUCAGCUUAUUCAACCACCUUAUCAGCCAUCAAAUAGUAUUUUUCUCUCACAACAAAUCAGCCAUUUCAGCUUUUCAGUCGGCUUAUAAGCUGAAGCGAACAGACCAAGUGAUCCAUUGUAUUCCUGGUCCACCAAGUCCUCCUCCAUAUUUAGCAUUGUACUGGGUAUGUGGGAGAAAAAGAUGAAGCAUUUUGUGAAAAUUGUUAAAAUCCUUAUUCUCAGCAUCCGGAGCUUGUCUUUGUACUUCUUCACUUUUAUCGCCUUUAUUGUCCUUCAAUUUCUUCUCUUUUCCUUUCAUGAAAGUGCUUCACCAUACCUGCAAAACAAUUCAGGUGCACAUACUACCCCCGUGGCGAUAGUCGGGAAUGGAAUCAAUUACCAAUAAACCAACGACAUCCCUAUAAUUUUAACUUGUGGCACAGCUAAUCCAGUAAAAUAAAAACAAAAAAUCCAAUGAGUGUACGUGCGUGCAAGUGUGAAUGCACAAGGUUAGUGACAUGAAAGGUGGGGACCAAACUUGAUAGAGAUUACACAAAAUUUUAAACACCACGUUUACUACUCAGCUGCUGAAGUUUUUGGAUAAAACACCACGUUAAAGCCAACGAAUUCAAGUACUCCAAAAAGUUUAGAAAACCAAGCGUGUUAACAUAACAAAAGUCGACUGUGAAAAAUGCAAAAUGCAAAUGCAAAGAGUUAGCAAAAACUAGGGUUAGUAAGGUCGAAAAGACUAUCGAUGUUGUUUCGCAAUUGGUUAAGUCAAAAAGAAUUGCUUAGAAUGAUAAAGCACAGCUGGUAAAGAAGUCAAGCAAUGUCAAUAGGAAAAUCGUUCAUAAAAAAUCUUCAACAACCAAACCAACAAGAUUAAAGGUAGGUUUAUAGGUAUCCUAUAUUUUUUUACUUGAAACAGGAAUUUUGAAGAGAGAAAUCAAACAUAGAAACUCUUCGGCAGCCGCGCUGUGCUCGGUGGUGGUGGGACUAUGCGGCGAUGGCUAAAAGCUCCGUGUCGCUCUCCAUAGAGACUACGCGGGGAGAGAAUAAUUUUAUUCUUAGCAAUUACUUUCCUCAUUUGCCACGGACGAAGAGGCAACGGAACCCUACCCCAGGAUUUCGCGGUCCGGCGCCCGUCCAAACCCCGUGUCCCCUCUACCCAAUGCCCGUGCGACACCGUGAACGGGAUCCCCUCCACGAGGCCACGGCUUCGCCCGCCACGGAGAAAAAGGGCCCUCCGGCCGGCACCGUGCGGCCGACGCCCUUUCCCCUUUUGUUUUCCUUCCCCGCUUUCACGGCGGGGCCGUCAGAGGCAGGCGCGGGGUAGGGUGGGGGUCCAAAGCCUCCAAGCCGAGGAACUUGUGGCUGCGGGGCGCGCCACGGAAGGCUCCGGGGCCGGGACACGCGUCCGGACUGACUUGGCAGCUGUCCCUCUCGCCGCUGCCCCCACGCCCCUCUCCUCCCGAGCACCCACCUAUAUCAUGCGGCUCGUCACCCUCCGCUUACCAUCUCGGGCUCCGGCACAACGCACUCGCCUUCCCCUUUUCCUUUCCGCGCCCACAGCCGUUGCCACAUAUAGCAACCACCGUACGUCGGCGGCGAGUAUAUAUAUCCAACGACUCCUUCCUGCGGGGAUCAUUUUGGGAGGACUGCAGGGUGUGAUCUCUGAUCAGUAGAGACGCACCACGAUGGCGAGCGGCGGCGGCGCGGGCGCGGAUGCGGCCGGGGUGGCGCCGUUCGUGGCCAAGACGUACCGCAUGGUGGACGACCCGUCCACCGACGGCGUCAUCGCGUGGGGCAGGGACAACAACAGCUUCGUCGUCGCCGACCCCUUCGUCUUCUCGCAGACGCUCCUCCCCGCGCACUUCAAGCACUCCAACUUCUCCAGCUUCGUGCGGCAGCUCAACACCUACGUACGUAUACACACUGUCAAAGUGAAUUGCUUGCUUGUGUUCUUCACCAAUCACCAGUCGGCCUGACCUGCCGUUCGAUUAUUCCACCUGCAGGGCUUCCGGAAGGUUGAUCCGGACCGGUGGGAGUUCGCGCACGUAUCGUUCCUGCGCGGGCAGACGCACCUCCUGCCCCGGAUCGUCCGCAGGAGCGGCGGCGGCGGCGGCAAGCGCAAGGACGACGGCUGCGGCGGCGGUGGCGACGCUGGGGCCGUGGAUGAGGACGCGGUGGCCAUGGAGUUGGUCCGGCUGAAGCGGGAGCAGCGCGCCAUCGAGGACCAGGUGGCAGCGAUGUGGCGCCGCGUGCAGGAGACGGAGCGCCGGCCCAAGCAGAUGCUCGCCUUCCUCGUCAAGGUCGCCGGCGACCCGCAGGUCCUGCGCCGCCUCGUCUCCUCCUCCGGGGCCUCCGGGGCAGGCGGCGCGAGCGGCGGCGUCGGGUUCGCCUCGGGUCCGGAAGAGGACUGCGCCGGCGGGGAGGUCGCGAAGAGGGCGCGCCUGCUCCUCGACGGCGGCGACCCGGUCUAUGGUGGUGGCAGCAGCGACGCCGCCGCCGCCGCCGAGUUCGGCGUGUUCUACAGCGCCGGCGCCGAUGACGUCGGGUUCGGCGGCGAGGCCGGCGGAUACCUGCAGCCGCCGCCGUACGUGUUCCCCGUGAACAGCGGCUACUGAUGGCGGUGACGUGUGUGCUGCGUCCGAUAGCGGUGGUCGGUUUUGUCGUCGUGUGCGUGCUCCGUUCGCCAGCUGCCCUCGCGAAUUGCUUGGGGAUGUGGCAACGGCGAACGGUGGCGGAGGCCCAGCAAGAUGGGAGCAGCUCUCCGACCGGGCUGGCCGGCUGGGUAGCCUGGUGGGUGCUACAUGUAAGUCGCGUCGUGUCUGCACAUGUGCCUGAGCCUGACCUGUGGGUGUGCGGUCACGCGUGCGGAAUAAGAGGCUGUAAAAGUGUAAAGCCUUGGUCGUUUAGGCAGGCUAGGUCUAGGUAGGUCAUGUUGCUUCCCCUGUGAUAGUGUGAUGUGAAUACCACACAGCAGUAGUGCUUCCAGUUCGCCCUCUAUUGGCCGAAAUGAUCUUUGGCAUGGUGCACGGACGAACUGCAGUGGACGAUUUGAUUGGAGGUGCAAAAGCAAAACGAUGUCGCCACCCUGCGAUGCGGAUCGCAGGUCCCGCACCUCGUCGCCGGGAAAGAUGGCUGGCACAGCGGCAGAUCCUUUUCGCCGGCGUCGCCUGAUGCGUGUGACGCUUCCGCCGCGGACGAGGACGCCCACCUCCCGCCUCCCGGGUCGGCACGGCGGCGCCGCUCGCGCGCGUCUCGCCGUCUCGUCAGCAGCUCACUGACGAUGCCGGCACCUGCCCGCCCCGGCUCGCGCCACCCACAAGACUCAUUAUUUGGGCCGCAUAGGACUCUAAAACGUCUGGGCCGCAGUGGCUUGGGCCUUAGUGACGUCCGCGUCCAAGCUAUCUUUGGGCCGGUUUGCUACUCCAACUCCUUGAUUGACCCCAAUAUACCCUUUAAUAUGCCUCUCUUUUUUCUCCACUUACAAGGUAAGUUUAGUUUAAAGAAUUGCGAGAUGACACAUGAUACCUUGUAUUAAAAAUAUAGUAUAUUAAAAGAUCAUGAUAACUUUUUCCUGCAGUUUGGUAAUCUUAUUCUUAACAUCAAUUUCAUAUUAAAUGUCAUUAGCUUAUAAAAAUAAUUAUAAUUUUUAACAUAGGAAAUCAUGUUCUGUAUCCACUCAUAGAAUUUGAAUUAAAACCCAACCUGCUUACGAACAAAUAAAAAGGAGAGAUUUCAUUACGGGAUAUUUGACCAAUUGAAAUAUUUCAUGAAGUAAAUUGAGUCUAAAUUUUGUUGUGGGUUUUAGGUGAAUAAAGUGGAUAGGUGAAUGUAGUAAAACGGAAUUAGUUCUUAAUUUAAUAUUUUAGCUUUCAUCUUUUAUAAGAUGUUGCCCUCUCUUCUAAAAAAAAAGAGAGUAUAACUGAAUAGCUAGUGUGGCGCGCUACUGCGUUUUAUCAGGCGCGGGGCACACCAAAAUCUCCCUUCCGAUCCCUCACCAUGGAGGUGGAGCUUUUGGCUCGGUGCUAGACUAGACACGAACAACUCCAGUAGUACGGUAGUAGUAUCGUCGGUAGCCGGCUAGCCGAUCAGCGCAUCUUGCCGCGGACAAGAUGCACGGCAACGGCAUAUGAUGUCGUGGCACACGGUGAUACGACGUGAACACCCCGACGACACCACACCGAUGCAGGUUUGAAGUUUCAAAGCCCUUGUACUAGUAGAUCCAGCCAGUUCUCUGCUCAUCAGCUGCAUUGGAAAGAGAUGGAUGCUGCAGUCGGGAGAGGCAGUCACGUGUGUGUCGCGUAGGGAGAGGCAGAGCAGGGCAGCGCCGAUCGAGUCGCUGCCAUGCCUGCAAGGCUGCAAGCUCUCAUCGGUGACAGGACAACAACAGGAUGGAUCGGAGUAGGGAGUAGGGACUAGGGACCAACGCGUGCGCCAGCGCCGCGCAGCCGGGGCACGGCCGCGUGGCGCGCCCAGGCAGGCUCGGCCGCGAGCCCGCGACAGGGCGCGCGCGUCGUCCUCUGCCAAUGGCGCGGCACCGCGCCGCGUCCUCCCCGACGCCCGCGCUUCCCGCUUUCGCGCGGCGGGACCAGGUCAUCACGUCGGUCGGAUGGAGGCGGGCGACACGGUGCACUGCAUGAUUCGGGCGAGCGCUUGAUCAGCUGAGCGCGACCGGCGGCGCUGAAGAUUCGUCGUCGGCAAGGGGAAUCCUGAGCAGGUUACGUGGCGGGUUCCCAAGAAACGCCAGCAGGACGGACGAACGGCGUGCGUGAUCGCGUCGCGGAGCCAAGCCUUUUCGCUGCUCGCGGGAAAUGAGGAAACGGCUUCACGUCGCCGGCUGAUGCUGAGAGUGAGAGCACGCACGCGACGGGUGCUGGAGCUGGCGUGCGCCGCGGAGAGGUCGCUCGCCGUGCUCUGUCGCACACGCGUCGGGCGUUGCGGCCUGGCACCUGUCCUGUCCCUCUCGCACGCCUGGCCAGGCUUUAUUUCAC